RNAcentral lists this ribosomal RNA (484 nucleotides) under uncultured bacterium. Its description in RNAcentral is "partial 16S ribosomal RNA". It matches the Rfam family "Bacterial small subunit ribosomal RNA", at positions 28 to 507 of the family's 1533-position model. The record is from RNAcentral.
AUUGAACGCUGGCGGCAUGCUUUACACAUGCAAGUCGAACGGCAGCGCGGGCUUCGGCCUGGCGGCGAGUGGCGAACGGGUGAGUAAUGCAUCGGAACGUGCCCAGUAGUGGGGGAUAGCCCGGCGAAAGCCGGAUUAAUACCGCAUACGACCUGAGGGUGAAAGCGGGGGACCGAAAGGCCUCGCGCUAUUGGAGCGGCCGAUGUCGGAUUAGCUAGUUGGUGGGGUAAAGGCUUACCAAGGCGACGAUCCGUAGCUGGUCUGAGAGGACGACCAGCCACACUGGGACUGAGACACGGCCCCGACUCCUACGGGAGGCAGCAGUGGGGAAUUUUGGACAAUGGGGGCAACCCUGAUCCAGCCAUGCCGCGUGCGGGAAGGAGGCCUUCGGGUUGUAAAACGCUUUUGUUCGGGAAGAAAUCCUCUGGGCUAAUACCCCGGGGGGAUGACGGUACCGGAAGAAUAAGCACCGGCUAACUACGUG